RNAcentral lists this ribosomal RNA (301 nucleotides) under uncultured bacterium. Its description in RNAcentral is "partial 16S ribosomal RNA". It matches the Rfam family "Bacterial small subunit ribosomal RNA", at positions 509 to 809 of the family's 1533-position model. The record is from RNAcentral.
CAGCAGCCACGGUAAUACGUAGGGGGCAAGCGUUAUCCGGAUUUACUGGGUGUAAAGGGAGCGCAGACGGCAGUGCAAGUCUGAAGUGAAAGGCGUGGGCUCAACCCAUGAACUGCUUUGGAAACUGUAUAGCUUGAGUGUCGGAGGGGUAAGCGGAGUUCCUAGUGUAGCGGUGAAAUGCGUAGAUAUUAGGAGGAACACCGGAGGCGAAGGCGGCUUACUGGACGACAACUGACGUUGAGGCUCGAAGGCGUGGGGCGCAAACAGGAUUAGAUACCCGCGUAGUCCCUGUCUCUUAUAA